RNAcentral lists this ribosomal RNA (610 nucleotides) under uncultured organism. RNAcentral's name for it is "bacterial SSU rRNA". It matches the Rfam family "Bacterial small subunit ribosomal RNA", at positions 877 to 1473 of the family's 1533-position model. The record is from RNAcentral.
GGAGUACGGCCGCAAGGGCUAGAAGCUCAGAGAGAUUGACGGGGACCCGCACAANCGGUGGAGUAUGUGGCUUAAUUCGAUGCAACGCGAAGAACCUGACCUGGCCUUGACAUGCAUUGUGUCGUCGGUGAAAGCCGGCUAGUCCUGGAAACAGGACGCUUUGCACAGGUGCUGCAUGGCUGUCGUCAGCUCGUGUCGUGAGAUGUUGGGUUAAGUCCCGCAACGAGCGCAACCCUUGUGGUCAGUUACUAACCGGCUUAGCCGGAGGACUCUGGCCAGACUGCCCUGUCAAACGGGGAGGAAGGUGGGGACGACGUCAAGUCAGUAUGGCCCUUAUGGCCAGGGCUGCACACGUACUACAAUGCCCGGUACAAUGUGAACCGAAACCGCGAGGUGGAGGAAAUCGCUCUUGAAAACCGGGCCCAGUUCGGAUUGGAGUCUGCAACUCGACUCCAUGAAGUCGGAAUCGCUAGUAAUGGCGUAUCAGCAACGACGCCGUGAAUACGUUCCCGGGUCUUGUACACACCGCCCGUCACAUCAUGGAAGUCUCCUGUACCCGAGGCACGUGCGCCAACCUUUCAGGAGGCAGCGUUCGAAGGUAUGGGAGCUA